AAUUAACCCGGAUCAAGAACUAGAUAUAUUUAUCAAGGCAGUAGUUUUGGGGCAACAGACAAGCGUACUUGUGGAAUACAUCAUGAAGAUUUUAGGAUUGGACAUUUGUGCUGAUACAUUGGUAGGAGAUGAAAUGCUUAAAGGAAUAUCAGGAGGGCAAAAAAGCGGCUUACGACAGCUGAACUGCUUAUGGGUCCUUCUAGGGUACUUCUCUUGGAUGAGAUAUCAACGGGACUAGACAGCUCUACUACACAUCAGAUCAUCAAUUAUCUUCGGCACACAACUCAUGCACUGGGUGGUACAACACUGGUAUCUCUCUUGC
Salvia splendens (bonfire salvia) is the source of this 322-nucleotide long non-coding RNA. RefSeq lists it as uncharacterized. The record is from RefSeq and is a predicted model, not a curated record. NCBI's taxonomy places the organism in Eukaryota, Viridiplantae, Streptophyta, Magnoliopsida, Lamiales, Lamiaceae. The transcript has 4 exons.